AUCAACUUUCGAUGGUAGGAUAGAGGCCUACUAUGGUGGUGACGGGUGACGGAGAAUUAGGGUUCGAUUCCGGAGAGGGAGCCUGAGAAACGGCUACCACAUCCAAGGAAGGCAGCAGGCGCGCAAAUUACCCAAUCCCGACACGGGGAGGUAGUGACAAUAAAUAACAAUACGGGGCUCUUUCGGGUCUCGUAAUUGGAAUGAGUACAAUUUAAAUCCCUUAACGAGGAACAAUUGGAGGGCAAGUCUGGUGCCAGCAGCCGCGGUAAUUCCAGCUCCAAUAGCGUAUAUUAAAGUUGUUGCAGUUAAAAAGCUCGUAGUUGAAUUUCGGGAUUGACACAUCGGUCGUGCCUUAAGGGGUAUGAACUGGUGUAGCCAAUUUCUCACCUUCUGGAGAACCACGAUGCCCUUAAUUGGGUGUCGCGGGGAACCAGGACCUUUACUUUGAAAAAAUUAGAGUGUUUAAAGCAGGCAUUUUGCUUGAAUACAUUAGCAUGGAAUAAUGAAAUAGGACGUUUGAUUCUAUUUUGUUGGUUUCUAGGAUCGACGUAAUGAUUAAUAGGGAUAGUUGGGGGCAUUAGUAUUCAAUUGUCAGAGGUGGAAUUCUUGGAUUUAUUGAAGACUAACUACUGCGAAAGCAUUUGCCAAGGAUGUUUUCAUUAAUCAAGAACGAAAGUUAGGGGAUCGAAGACGAUCAGAUACCGUCGUAGUCUUAACCAUAAACUAUGCCGACUAGGGAUCGGAUGAUGUUAUUUUUAAUGACUCAUUCGGCGCCUUACGGGAAACCAAAGUGUUUGGGUUC
Molecule: ribosomal RNA, 802 nt
Filed under: uncultured Glomus
Lineage: Eukaryota; Fungi; Glomeromycota; Glomeromycetes; Glomerales; Glomeraceae
Description: SSU rRNA
Rfam family: Eukaryotic small subunit ribosomal RNA
Source: RNAcentral